This 77-nucleotide transfer RNA is filed under the name Solobacterium sp. Its description in RNAcentral is "tRNA-Arg". It matches the Rfam family "tRNA". From Rfam's summary of the family: Transfer RNA (tRNA) molecules are approximately 80 nucleotides in length. Lineage: Bacteria; Bacillati; Bacillota; Erysipelotrichia; Erysipelotrichales; Erysipelotrichaceae. The record is from RNAcentral.
CUCCCGGUACCUCAGAUGGAUAGAGGGUUCGCCUCCUAAGCGAAACGCCAGCGGUUCGAAUCCGCUCCGGGAGGCCA